RNAcentral lists this long non-coding RNA (1157 nucleotides) under Sorghum bicolor (sorghum). RNAcentral describes it as "long non-coding RNA (SBIC_LNC016760)". Lineage: Eukaryota; Viridiplantae; Streptophyta; Magnoliopsida; Poales; Poaceae. The record is from RNAcentral.
CCCCUUUAUCUCUCAAAAUAAAAGCGUCGCUUUUCUCUGCGAAUGAGAUGCAAAUACCUCCCAAAGGCGAUACGUACAUACGUGGCUUUCACUUCGCAAUAAACAAAAGAGGGGGUGAAAAGUCACAAUCUGAAGCUACGAGGGAAAUCAUGAUGAAGCGACAUUUUCUCAUCAUCAGACGAAUUAAGUUCAAUGUUCCUGCUUAGGCCUUGUUUGGUUCCACCAACUAAAUUUUAGCUAGCUAAAAUUAUUUUAGCUACUAUUGGGUGACUAAUGGAACUAAACUAUUUUAGCUUCUUUUAGUCAAUGUGUUUGGAACUUUAGCUACUAAAGUGACUAAAGUUUAGCUAGCUAAAAUUUAGUUGGUGGAACCAAACAGGGCCUUAAUUAAAGAAAAAACAGAAUCUGGGCAACGACACGAUGUUCACUCUGAAUCAAUCAAUGCUGCUACAGAAACGAUCUGAAUCUCUGAACCAAAAGAAUUCCACGGGUGGGGUGGUACAAAGCACAGGUCAGGAACACAAACACACACAGGCAAGCAAGAAGAAGGCAUCACGCGACGCAUGUCGACAGCACUACGGCGGCUCUCGUUCGUCUAGGAGACAUCAUCAGUGGCGCAGGUUGCCGAGGAGGAGCGCGACGGCCGGGCAGAGCACGGCGGCAACGAGCGACGAGGAGACGGACGCGGCGCCGGAGGUGGGGCUCGGCGCGGGGGCGUCGGCGGCGAAGGCGACGCCGGCGAAGGCGGAUACGGCGACGGCCGCGACGACGGCGGCGCGCAACAUCUUGGAGGAGGCCAUGACGAUUUGGAAGCUAGCGAACAGAGAUUUGCCUGCGCUAGCUUUUGAGCUGAGCUCGUAGGGAAAUUGCAAACGAUUUGUGUGUGUGUGUGUGUGUGUGAGGUCGGAGGUGGUGAGAGCGCGUGUGUUUAUAGGUGGGCGGAGGAGAAGGUUUGGUGGGCCCACGUUCACAGUCUGGCUGGCCUAUUUCCCAUCAGCCAGCUCAUAAUUAGUGGCAGCCCAUAAUUUAGCGUAAAGUUAGAAGACUGAUGGUUUUCAGUCACAUAAAACCAAAGCUACAAUUAGUAGCAGAGAUUUUUUCUACUAAUACAAGAGAAUUCAUAAUUGUGAUUUUGGGGACUUGCUUUUUUAAAAUUG